RNAcentral lists this ribosomal RNA (1151 nucleotides) under Streptococcus infantis. Its description in RNAcentral is "partial 23S ribosomal RNA". It matches the Rfam family "Bacterial large subunit ribosomal RNA", at positions 807 to 1984 of the family's 2925-position model. Lineage: Bacteria; Bacillati; Bacillota; Bacilli; Lactobacillales; Streptococcaceae. The record is from RNAcentral.
AGGUGUGGAUAGCGGAGAAAUUCCAAUCGAACCCGGAGAUAGCUGGUUCUCCUCGAAAUAGCUUUAGGGCUAGCCUCGUUUUAGUCUGGUGGAGGUAGAGCACUGAAUUCCCAAGGGGGCGUCAAAGCUUACUAAGGGAUAUCAAACUCCGAAUGCCAUACAGAUGAUGAACGGGAGUCAGACUAUACGAGAUAAGUUGGAUAGUCAAAAGGGAAAGAGCCCAGACCCGCAGCUAAGGUCCCAAAGUGCAUGUUAAGUGGAAAAGGAUGUGGGAUCUCUAAGACAACUAGGAUGUUGGCUCAGAAGCAGCCAUUCAUUCAAAGAGUGCGUAACAGCUCACUAGUCGAGAGGUCCUGCGCCGAAAAUGUCCGGGGCUAAAACAUGCCACCGAAGCUUGGGAAUGACAUAGUCAUUGGUAGAGGAGCAUUCUUAACGCGAAGAAGCAGUACCGGAAGGAGCUGUGGAGUGCUAAGAAGAGAGAAUGCCGGAAUGAGUAGCGAGAACAAGGUGAGAAUCCUUGUGGCCGAAUAUCCAAGGUCUCCAGGGUAAAGCUGAUCUGCCCUGGGAAAGUCGGGACCUAAGGUGAGGCUGAAAAGCGUAGCCGAUGGACAACAGGUUGAUAUUCCUGUACCGCAUGGUAACAGAACUGUGGGGACACGGGAGGGAAACAUGGGCCGGAAAUGGAAAGUCCGGUACAAACGGGGUAGUCGCACAGCAGGCAAAUCCGCUGUGCAUGAGACGAAGCCGUGAUGUGGAGCGAACUAAAGUAGUGAAGCAUGUGCCCCCUCCUGUCGAGAAAAGCCGCUAUUGUUUGCCAUGCGCCCGUACCGUAAACCGACACAGGUGGAUGAGGAGAGAAUCCUAAGGCCGGCGGGAGAAGCAUUGUCAAGGAACUCGGCAAAAUGACCCCGUAACUUCGGGAGAAGGGGUGCCCACGCAAGUGGGCCGCAGAGAAUAGGCCCAAGCAACUGUUUAGCAAAAACACAGGUCUAUGCAAAACCGAAAGGUGAGGUAUAUGGGCUGACGCCUGCCCGGUGCUGGAAGGUUAAGGGGAGUGGUCAGGAAACGAAGCCACGAACUUAAGCCCCAGUAAACGGCGGCCGUAACAAUAACGGUCCUAAGGUAGCGAAAUUCCUUGUCGGGUAAGUUCC